This 446-nucleotide long non-coding RNA is filed under the name Pan troglodytes (chimpanzee). RNAcentral describes it as "lincRNA". Lineage: Eukaryota; Metazoa; Chordata; Mammalia; Primates; Hominidae. The record is from RNAcentral.
AUUAGAGAUUGUAACUUAGGCCUCUUUAAAUAGGAUUUCUGAUUAUUCUAUGAUACUUUAAGACAUUUACUUAUACCUAAUGUUAAAUGACGAGUUAAUGGGUGCAGCACACCAACAUGGCACAUGUAUACAUAUGUAACAAACCUGCACAUUGUGCACAUGUACCCUAAAACUUAAAGUAUAAUUAAAAAAAUAUCCCCCCCCCCAAAAAAAAGACAUUUACUGAAUGCCUACGAUGUGCCAGAAAUGGGCUGUAUUUACACAAUACAGAAAAAGAAAAGAUAAGCAUUGCAUUUAAGAGCACAGAGCUGGCUGGGUAUGGUGCCCUCAUGGUUUAUAAUUUCUAAUUGUCUACUUAAAAUGAAGUGAUAUGGGAGAAAUUUAUCUAGACUCAAAAUCAGGAAGAAUUUUAUUUUUAUUUAAAAUUAGCUUUAUAGACACUACAU